RNAcentral lists this long non-coding RNA (433 nucleotides) under Heterocephalus glaber (naked mole-rat). Its description in RNAcentral is "lncRNA (ENSHGLG00100033666.1)". The record is from RNAcentral. Lineage: Eukaryota; Metazoa; Chordata; Mammalia; Rodentia; Bathyergidae.
GUGAGUUUGAGGCCAGCCUGGGCAAAGAUGUCAAAUAGAGAAUCCAGAGGAAGUGGAAUUUAAGCAAAGCCCUAAGGACUGACUAUGCAGGAAACGCCAAGAUGCUGAUGGCCAAGGCCGGAAAGGAUGAAGGGGCUCGGCCUGUGGAGAGGAUGCAGGCAUCUGAGGGCAGCUGAUGGCCAAACCCAGACUGCAAACAAACUUGUAUCCAGUUACAGGAGUGCAGAUACUGAGCUGUUCUGUUGGUGGCGUUCGGGGUUUCACAGUGGACACUGAACAGUGCCGCUCUCCCAGCACGUGAGGGCCAGGCAGUGGGCAGGCCCCUCCCCGCGGGCUGCAGGAUGCCGCUCUGACCGCAGUCUGGUGCGUGUAAGUAUCUCAGUGUGCUUUUCAUUCGCACCUCCUGAUUACCAUGUAAGGUUGAGCAUAAUUC